AUGGAUUCCAUCAUGGCUAACGGGACAUGGAAGAUCACUGAGCGUCCCUAUGGUUGCAAACCAUUGGGAUGUAAGUGGGUGUUCAAGAAAAAGCUUAGGCCCGACGGUACGAUUGAAAAGUACAAGGCCAGGCUUGUGGCCAAGGGCUAUGACCAGAAAGAAGAGGAAGAUUUCUUUGAUACUUAUUCACCUGUGGCUAGACUGACCACCAUUCGAGUAUUACUCUCGUUGGCGGCCUCACAUGGUCUUCUCGUCCAUCAAAUGGAUGUUAAGACGGCUUUUCUGAAUGGAGAGCUAAAUGAGGAAAUCUACAUGCAACAGCCAGAUGGCUUUGUGAUAGAUGGUCAGGAAAGGAAGGUGUGUAAGUUGCUGAAAUCUUUAUAUGGCCUAAAGCAAGCACCUAAGCAAUGGCAUGAUAAGUUCAAUACAACUCUGACAUCUGUUGGUUUCGUUGUUAAUGAGGCUGACAAAUGUGUAUACUAUCGCCAUGGUGGGGGCGAAGGAGUUAUACUGUGCUUGUAUGUUGAUGACAUACUGAUAUUCGGAACAAACCUCAAAGUCAUUGAGGAGGUCAAAUUGUUUCUGUCUCAGAACUUCGAGAUGAAGGACCUUGGUGUGGCUGAUGUUAUCUUGAACAUCAAGCUACUGAGAGAUAAUGAGUGUGGGAUCACACUUCUGCAAUCCCAUUAUGUUGAGAAGGUGUUGAGUCGUUUUGGAUAUUCGGACUACACACCAUCUCAAACACCAUAUGAUCCUAGCGUGUUGAUUCGAAAGUCCAAAGGCAUGGCUAAAGAUCAAUUGAGAUACUCUCAAAUCAUUGGUUCACUGAUGUUCCUAGCGAGCGCAACGAGGCCUGACAUCGCGUUUUCUGUGAGCAAACUGAGCCGGUUUGUUUCCAAACCGGGUGAUGUACAUUGGCAUGCUGUUGAAAGAGUUAUGCGCUAUCUGAAAGGUACUAUGAACUAUGGACUUCACUAUACCGGAGACCCGUCGGUACUUGAAGGGUAUAGUGAUGCGAAUUGGAUCUCUGAUGCUGAUGAGAUGAAGGCCACAACUGGGUAUAUGUUUACUCUUGGAGGUGGCACUGUUUCCUGGAAGUCUUGCAAGCAAACGAUCUUAACGAGAUCGACAAUGGAAGCAGAAUUAACAGCAUUAGACACUUCUGGUGUUGAAGCAGGAUGGCUUCGAGAACUUUUGAUGGACUUGCCACUGGUUGAUAAACCGGUUCCGGCUAUCCUUAUGAACUGUGACAAUCAGACUGUCAUCACCAAGGUGAAGAGUUCAAAGGACAACAUGAAGUCCAACAAACACAUAAGAAUGAGAUUAAAAGCUGUCAGAAAAUUAAGAAACUCCGGAGUGAUAGCGCUGGACUAUGUCCAUACGGCUAAGAAUCUGGCAGAUCCCUUUACGAAAGGGCUAUCACGUGUCGUGAUAGAUAGUGCAUCGUCGGAGAUGGGUAUGAGACCCGCAUGA
Molecule: ribosomal RNA, 1473 nt
Filed under: Triticum aestivum (bread wheat)
Lineage: Eukaryota; Viridiplantae; Streptophyta; Magnoliopsida; Poales; Poaceae
Description: partial small subunit ribosomal RNA
Source: RNAcentral